GGGCUCACUUUGGCAGCACAUAUACUAAAAUUGGAAUGAUACAGAGAAGAUUAGCAUGUCCUCUGCACAAGGAUGACACGCAAAUUCUUUUUUAUUUUUUU
This 101-nucleotide small nuclear RNA is filed under the name Otolemur garnettii (small-eared galago). Lineage: Eukaryota; Metazoa; Chordata; Mammalia; Primates; Galagidae. The record is from RNAcentral.